Molecule: unclassified non-coding RNA, 264 nt
Filed under: Hevea brasiliensis (rubber tree)
Lineage: Eukaryota; Viridiplantae; Streptophyta; Magnoliopsida; Malpighiales; Euphorbiaceae
Source: RNAcentral
CCCAAUUCUCUUGUCAAUUGAAAAACCCUUGCCGCACACAUUGCUGGCAUUCUAAUUCUCCGCCCUCUCCCAUCAACCUUCGUGUGUCGAUCCUUCGAGGACCGCUUCGGAGGUGUUGCUGUUACAGAAGUGGUGGUGGUUGUAGAUGCGGUCGUAACUAUGGAAAGAUUCUCCUGCUGAUUCUUCUUUGUUGAGUCUAAAAGAGACCCAGAUCUGGUGGCGAUAGCAAGAGACGCGUCGACGAGGUGAGGAGGAGCUGCAGAA